UAUUAUUUAGAAAGUUUUUUUUUUUAUUUUUCUUCUUCUACUUUUAUUUGUAAUAUUAUAAGUGUUUGCGUGAGAGAAAAAACUCAGAGAAUAUCCUUGAGAUAAAAAGAGAAAAAAAAGAGAGAAAAGAGAAGACUUCUAGUGAAGUCAAAGUUAGUGUCAUGGGGAACUAAGUGAUUGGGAACAAGUUUCCAGAGAAAUAGAGAAGGUCCUUAUUCCAUUGCCUUCCUUCCUUUUACAAGUUUCCAUAGGAAAGCAUCAGAUUUCUGUUAUUUUUUCGCUCAAAAAACCCGUGUUUCCCAUCUCUCCCUUAAUUCACCCAUUUUCAUUCCUUUUCCUUCUUUCCUUCUACAAAUCUCCACUUGUUUCUUGCUCUAUACUCUUCUCAAACCCUAACCCUAAUCUCUGUCCUCGUCAGCCACACCAAAGGAAUCUCUGACCUUGCUUGCUCUUCCGACUCUCACUAUAUCAUCUCUGACGACGACACUUCUCUCCGUAUUUGGGCCGCACACACCUCUGCUUGCGACCGCGUUAAUGGCGACAAAAGAAGUACUGUGACAAUACUACCUUCAGCAUAUCCAUGAACUUUUGCUUCAGAUCCGCGUCAAAUCUCAUAAUCUCCAACGUCGUCUUAAAGCUUAGCGCAACCAGUUCCAUUCUCGAGGUCUCUUUUUUCUUCUCUUCUAAUCGUAAACCCUACUUUUUUCUAUUCUUGUUGGUUUUUGGCUUAAUUUUAUUUUAUGCCUUGUAAUUGUUUGAGUUGGUUGGUGGAUUUCUACUUUUUUUUAUUUUUUAUUUUUUAAUUCGAUUUCUACUAACUGUUUAAGUCGAAUUGAGUAACUUUCGAUUGUAUCUUGUUAUUGAUUUUGUUGGCGAUUUUACUAACUUUUUUUUGGCUCCUUUGACUAUAUGCAUGUUUUUAUGAAUAUAUUUUGUUCUUUUUUGCUAUUUAUUUGGUGUAUAGGUUGUUAUUCUAUAAACUGGUAUUGGUUUGGAUGGAAGAUUGUGUCUUUUGUUGCUAUAGUCAAUCCGACGUCGUUUUUCUGCGUCAAUUGUAACCAACUGCUAUUGGGGUUUGUUUGAAGGUGUUGAUUGACGAUAAAAUUGGGUUUUAUUUUGCUCUAGAUUGACCCUCAAUGAAGCAAUAUUUAUAGUAGCUGAAUUACUGGAACACUUACGUAGAUUACAUUGUUGAUCCUUUUACUCAAUGGAAGAACAACUUGUUGAGAUAUUGCUUGCGCUAUGGGGAACUAACCAAAUCAAAUGAGCAGCGCUUUAUUUGCUUGCUAUGUGAUGGAAAUAGAGAUAAUAUGUCAUUCUUUUCAAUAUAUAUAGUUAUAGUGGAAUAUGAAAUUAAAAUUAUAGCAAAUACUCUUAUGUAUCUAAUUAUUUAUGUUUAUGCUUAAAUUAAGCAUACUAUGCUUAAUAAAAUGAUUAUUGAUAUAUAUUAUUGGUUAAUAAUGAAAAAAUGCAAAAAAAAAAAAAAAUUGUUUUUGGGGUGGUCAACCGCAACAGUUAAUCAUUUACCGCUACAGUUUUGGUUCAAAAUCGCAGCAGUUAAUGAGCGGUAAAUAAAUAAUUGUUGCGGUUUUGGACCGGAUCAGUUAAUAUUUGGGGACUGUUGCGAGUCCAACCGUUACGGUCCAAAACCGCAGUGGUAAGCCCGAUUUCGACCGUAGCGGUUGAACUUUUUUCGACUAGUGUUUCUUGCUAUAUCAAUGUCAUUAUCAAAUAUAACUCCACAUUUUCUCAAUUCUUUAGCAUCAACAUAUGUAGCUCAUGGAAGGAUCACGAAUGGAGAGGGGUAAACCACAUCUCCAUACUUUUGAGGGACAUCUCCCCACCUUUCUUAUAUUCUACUUGCAAGACUUUUAGGUCAUGACGUUAUAUGUGGGAGCAAUACCCGCUCAAAACACAUAAUGAUCAAUACCCGCUCGAUGAAUGUUUUUCAUCACUGCUUAUGCUUAUAAAACAAAAAUUAUACUCAUACAAAAUUACAUAUACUCAACACUUGUACUUAUAUACUUAUACUCAAAUACUUAUACUUAAAUACUUAACUACUUAUGUUGAAAUACUUAUACUUAGAUACUUAUACCGAAAUCAUAAGGCUCACAUGCUUUUACUCAACUUACACAUUAAUUCAUAUCUUUUAAGUAAUUUUUUUCAUUCCAAGUUUCAUUAAAAAAUUCUAAAAUAAUUAGCAGUAUUCAGAAUCCUAACAUCUCAAAUUACAUUUAUCUCCUUAAAAUUCAUUUAAGAGUAAGCAGAUUGCGGUCGAGAGCAUAUUUAAGUUUCUCAUAUUGGAUCCUCCAAAUAUAAUUUCUAACAAUCCAACCAUAGGAUCUAUAGUUCUACCAUAUAACUUCCCAAUCAUGACUAAGUUCAUAUUCAAUACAUUAACUCCGAAUAGCCAGAGUAGUAGGUGUUUCCAACUUUGUUUCAUUAGUAUUUCGUACUAAAUAUCGAAUUUUGCAUCAUUUUGUAGCUUUUAUGCUUAUUAAUCCUAUGUUUGAAGCAGUAUGUUCGAAGCAACUCACUUCAUUUCUUUUUGUUUAUAAAUCAAGUGUAUUUACACAUUACCCCCAGAACCACCAGACUUCUCCGAGCUUGGCACCAGCGUUACCAAGAUUCAACCUUGGAGGCAGAAUUGUAAAGACGGUUUGGUAACAGAUCAAAGAACAUUCAAAGAUAAACUCUCCUCACCAAAAACCCCAUUUACCACAAGAAAACCCUUGCCUCCUCUUCUCCACCCCCUCCUUCGUACCUGAGUCAGACCUUUUUCUCCCAAUGACGGCAUCUAAAUAGAAAUAUGUAAAAGUGGAACUGGUUGUAAUUGUAAAAGCAUGUGGGAAAUCAUUUUCCUCGGAUUUCCUCAUUGAAGGUAUGAAGAAAGUCUAGAAAGUUCAGGGACCCCUCUAUGCUUUUCCCAUGGGUAAGGGCUUCUUUAUCUUCAACUUCGCUUCAAAAGAUGAUAUUACUAAGGUACUAUCACAUGGGCCUUGGUAACUGGCAAACUAACACAUAUAUGUUCAACCUUUGGUACUAGAUUUAAAUCUUCAAAUGCAAAACUGGACUAUUAUUCUAUAUGGGUGGCUCUUCUAGAGCUACUGGUGGAGCUACAAUCAGUGGAAAUGCUCCAAAUGUUAGGAAACACAAUUGGCUCGUUCAUAAGAGCUGAUAUAAAGCCAUUAAGAGAAAAAAUUUGCAAAUGUUCAAUGUAUGGUGAAUUUCAAAUAGCCUCUUAAGGAGACCUUAUGGAUAGGGAAACUCAAACAAGAGUUGGUGUACCUUGAGAAAGAAAAAUUCUGCAAGCUAUGUCAAAUGAUCGGACAUGAAACAAAGUCCUACAAAGGUAAUCAACAUGAUUAGAACUCCAUGGGAAAGGAAGAUAACACCGGAGAGAAUGAAGGUUAUAUUAGGACGGAUGACACAGCAGUGGCGGACCAACGGAAAAAGGUCCAAAACCAAAAAAUUGAUUACCUAAAAAUGGCUACUAGGCUCCAAGACUGGGAAAAGAAAAACAAAGGACCUGAGGAAAUCAGGAAAUUUAAGAAUAGGUUCAAUGUAUUAAAUGAAGUGGAGGACUUAUAUAAAGCCACGUGGAAAGCAAUCUCGACUAACCCUAGUCGUUCAUCCCCCAAAUUAAUCCAGACCUUUCAAACCCUGAUAAGUGGACUUUAUGUUCACUUAUUUGCAUUUAAUUUAGGUCAUUUAGAUUCAUUUUAGGCCAUAUAGUUUCUUUUUCUUCCCAUUUUUAUCAUUUCUCAUAUUCUCAUACUUAGCAUUUUUAGUUCGUUUGCAUAUGGUUAGGUUGCAUAUAGGUCAUUUUUUUUGCAUGUGCGUUCCCCCCUCCCCCAUCUACUAUUUUCAUGGAGUGUUUUGAAGCUAAGAUAAGCAAGGAAGAGGCUCCAAACAGGGGAGUGGGCGCUCCUGAGGAAGAGGAGCGUUCCAGGAGCGGGCGCUCCGUCGUCAAGUUUUCCUGAUUUUUGUUUCGUCUUUUACAAUUUUGCCCUUAUUUAUACGGGGUAUAAAACAAACUUUGUAAUAAUCCUAAUACUAAGCUUUUAAUUUCUGAAUCAAUUAGUUCAAAUUAGAGAGAGUUUUUAG
Long non-coding RNA from Beta vulgaris subsp. vulgaris (sugar beet), 4107 nucleotides. RefSeq lists it as uncharacterized. The transcript has 3 exons. The record is from RefSeq and is a predicted model, not a curated record. Lineage: Eukaryota; Viridiplantae; Streptophyta; Magnoliopsida; Caryophyllales; Amaranthaceae.